AAAGAAACUAACAAGGAUUUUCUUAGUAGCGGCGAGCGAAAAGAAAUCAGUUCAGCACUAAGUCACUUUGUCUAUAUGGCAAAUGUGAGAUGCAGUGUAAGGAACAUCAAUAUUCUAGUAUGAGAAAUUAACGAUUUAAGUCCUUCUUAAAUGAGGCCAUUUACCCAUAGAGGGUGCCAGGCCCGUAUAACGUUAAUGAUUACUAGAUGAUGCUUCCAAAGAGUCGUGUUGCUUGAUAGUGCAGCACUAAGUGGGUGGUAAACUCCAUCUAAAACUAAAUAUAACCAUGAGACCGAUCGUAAACAAGUACCGUGAGGGAAAGUUGAAAAGAACUCUGAAUAGAGAGUUAAAUAGUACGUGAAACUGCUUAGAGGUUAAGCCCGAUGAACCUGAAUAUCCAUUAUGGAAAAUUCAUCAUUAGAAUUGUGAUAUUUUAUAAAUAUUAUAAUGAUAGUGUGCAUUUUUUCCAUAUAAGGACAUUGUAAUCUAUUAGCAUACAAAAUUUAUCAAAAAAUUUAUGAUUUAUAGUUUAUUUUAAUUAAUAUGCUUGCACUUUAACACAAAAUAAAUUUCAUAAAUUUGAUAAAGUGUUGAUAGAUUUAUUUGAUUACAGUGCGUGAAUUUUUCGGAAUUAUAUAAUAGCAUAAUUAUCAAUGAUUUUUAUGUUUGUUAUAUGCACAUGUAUGAUUAACAAUGCGAAAGAUUCAGGAUACCUUCGGGACCCGUCUUGAAACACGGACCAAGGAGUCUAACAUAUGUGCGAGUUAUUGGGUUAUAAACCUAAUAGCAUAAUUAACUUGAUUGAUAAUGGGAUUAGUUUUUUGACUAUUUAUAGUUGAAUUACACAAUCCCGGGGCG
Molecule: ribosomal RNA, 858 nt
Filed under: Jeannelopsis sp. 1 AY-2012
Lineage: Eukaryota; Metazoa; Arthropoda; Insecta; Diptera; Drosophilidae
Description: eukaryotic LSU rRNA
Rfam family: Eukaryotic large subunit ribosomal RNA
Source: RNAcentral